GUGAAAUUAAGCUUUUCCAAAAGUAAGAUACUGCCUGUAGAACAGAAAUACUCAUUUGCAGAGCAGCCUACAAUCUUUCUGGAAAUAAUAUACAGUUACACUCUGCAAAUGAGAUGUAUUAUCAUUAUGUUGAUGAGAAGAUCAAAUAUUUCUUUUUCUUCCAUAGUCAAAAUAUUGUUAAUGGAUGAUUUUCUGCCUGGAAGGACAUUUUAUUGAAAUUAUGUGCUGGGCCCACCACUCGUUGACUGAAUAAGAUGAAAACAAAUGAAAAAAGCAACCUGUAUGAGACAACUUCAACGGGAAAAAACCAGAAUCAGAAAUUGAAUUGUUCCACAGCAGAAGAAAUCAGCAGCUGGGGAUAAAGAAGAUAGCUGAGGAGAUAUGGCCAAGGAGAGUGAAGUUCAUUUUAGGUCACUGGAGGACUUCCAAAGACAUCUUCCUUUUCUGUAUUAUAAACCCUAAGAGUUAA
Molecule: non-coding RNA, 469 nt
Organism: Lonchura striata (white-rumped munia)
Lineage: Eukaryota; Metazoa; Chordata; Aves; Passeriformes; Estrildidae
Source: RefSeq, a predicted model, not a curated record